GGGCCCGCACAAGCGGUGGAGCAUGUGGUUUAAUUCGAUGAUACGCGAGGAACCUUACCAGGGCUUAAAUGUAGUGGGACAGGUCUAGAGAUAGACCCUUCUUCGGACUCAUUACAAGGUGCUGCAUGGUUGUCGUCAGCUCGUGCCGUGAGGUGUCAGGUUAAGUCCUAUAACGAGCGCAACCCCUAUCGUUAGUUGCCAGCGAGUAAUGUCGGGAACUCUAACAAGACUGCCGGUGCAAACCGUGAGGAAGGUGGGGAUGACGUCAAAUCAUCACGGCCCUUACGUCCUGGCUACACACGUGCUACAAUGCUACGGACAAAGGGCAGCAAGUUCGCGAGGACAAGCA
Molecule: ribosomal RNA, 349 nt
Filed under: uncultured bacterium
Lineage: Bacteria
Description: bacterial SSU rRNA
Rfam family: Bacterial small subunit ribosomal RNA
Source: RNAcentral